This 798-nucleotide long non-coding RNA is filed under the name Anas platyrhynchos platyrhynchos (common mallard). RNAcentral's name for it is "lncRNA (ENSAPLG00000029135.1)". The record is from RNAcentral. Lineage: Eukaryota; Metazoa; Chordata; Aves; Anseriformes; Anatidae.
UGAGAAUUAUGGUCUGUUUGUCUCUUUUUUUUAACCUCUUAACCAGAAAAGCUCAGCUGCAGUGUAGCAUCUGUAUUUUGCAACAUGAUCUUGCUUAUUUUUAUCUUAUUGCCUGAACCCUGUCCAAGUCAUAAAGAGAAUCUGAAUCUCAGAUACUAUCAGCCACCACCUGACUCCUAGUAUAUUCUCUUACAUUAGCAAGGAGUGAGGAAAGCAACAAAUGUAGUACCAUUAGCUCUCAUUAUUGAGGUAGCAUCCCAGGCCAGUUUUGGGGUAGAGCAAUGAGGGCAGCAGCAGGAGACAUGAAGCUGAGUUAGGCAGAUCAAGCAACUUCACCUAUAAGUAGACAGUUUUGUUGCUCAGGGCUUCAAGUUGGGCAUUACAGCUCAGAUGCCACAGCAGCUGUUUGAAUCCACUGUGCUGGCAGCCCAUGGCUCUGCUUCCCAUCAGAGAACACAGACUGCAGUGUCAACAAUAAGGAAAAAAGUGAUUAAAUGAGGAGGAAAACUGUACAAAAUGAUGUCAGAGGUUCUUCAUUCCAGCACAGCUGACAUGACUCAGUCCUACAGAAAGAGCUGUAUCCCAGCUCUUCUCCCAGGGAGGGCCUGCAACUCUUCACUGUUCACAGGUUACAGCUUAGAUUUUCUCUCAUGGAUUUGUGUGUGCAAUGUAAUACCAGCUUUUCGAAUUGACAAAUGGGUUUUCUACACACUUGCAUUCAGAAGACUCUUUUCUCUCCUACUCUGCCCAACAUACAGAUCUCAACAAAGUACUGGGAAAGGAUUUGACAAGAAGUAG